UACGUAGGGUGCAAGCGUUAAUCGGAAUUACUGGGCGUAAAGCGUGCGCAGGCGGUUGUGCAAGACCCAUGGGAAAUCCCCGGGCUUAACCUGGGAAUGGCAUUGGUGACUGCACGGCUAGAGUGUGUCAGAGGGGGGUAGAAUUCCACGUGUAGCAGUGAAAUGCGUAGAGAUGUGGAGGAAUACCGAUGGCGAAGGCAGCCCCCUGGGAUAACACUGACGCUCAUGCACGAAAGCGUGGGGAGCAAACAGG
This 253-nucleotide ribosomal RNA is filed under the name uncultured bacterium. RNAcentral's name for it is "partial 16S ribosomal RNA". It matches the Rfam family "Bacterial small subunit ribosomal RNA", at positions 524 to 776 of the family's 1533-position model. The record is from RNAcentral.